RNAcentral lists this ribosomal RNA (497 nucleotides) under uncultured bacterium. RNAcentral's name for it is "partial 16S ribosomal RNA". It matches the Rfam family "Bacterial small subunit ribosomal RNA", at positions 28 to 507 of the family's 1533-position model. The record is from RNAcentral.
GAUGAACGCUGGCGGCGUGCCUAAUACAUGCAAGUCGAGCGAACAGACGAGGAGCUUGCUCCUCUGACGUUAGCGGCGGACGGGUGAGUAACACGUGGAUAACCUACCUAUAAGACUGGGAUAACUUCGGGAAACCGGAGCUAAUACCGGAUAAUAUAUUGAACCGCAUGGUUCAAUAGUUAAAGACGGUUUUGCUGUCACUUAUAGAUGGAUCCGCGCCGCAUUAGCUAGUUGGUAAGGUAACGGCUUACCAAGGCAACGAUGCGUAGCCGACCUGAAAGGGUGAUCGGCCACACUGGAACUGAGACACGGUCCAGACUCCUACGGGAGGCAGCAGUAGGGAAUCUUCCGCAAUGGGCGAAAGCCUGACGGAGCAACGCCGCGUGAGUGAUGAAGGUCUUCGGAUCGUAAAACUCUGUUAUUAGGGAAGAACAAAUGUGUAAGUAACUAUGCACGUCUUGACGGUACCUAAUCAGAAAGCCACGGCUAACUACGUG